RNAcentral lists this ribosomal RNA (802 nucleotides) under uncultured Conexibacter sp. Its description in RNAcentral is "bacterial SSU rRNA". It matches the Rfam family "Bacterial small subunit ribosomal RNA", at positions 8 to 796 of the family's 1533-position model. The record is from RNAcentral. Lineage: Bacteria; Bacillati; Actinomycetota; Thermoleophilia; Solirubrobacterales; Conexibacteraceae.
AGAGUUUGAUCCUGGCUCAGGACGAACGCUGGCGGCAUGCUUAACACAUGCAAGUCGAACGGAAAGGCCCUCUUCGGAGGGUACUCGAGUGGCGAACGGGUGAGUAACACGUGGGUAACCUGCCUUUGACUGGGGGACAACCGGGGGAAACUCCGGCUAAUACCGCAUAACGUGCAGCGUCACAAGGCGCAGUACCAAAGAUAGCUUCGGCUUUCGGUCAAAGAUGGGCCCGCGGCAGAUUAGCUUGUUGGUGGGGUAAUGGCCUACCAAGGCGACGAUCUGUAGCUGGUCUGAGAGGACGAUCAGCCACACUGGAACUGAGACACGGUCCAGACUCCUACGGGAGGCAGCAGUGGGGAAUCUUGCGCAAUGGGCGAAAGCCUGACGCAGCAAUGCCGCGUGAGGGAAGACGGCCUUAGGGUUGUAAACCUCUUUCAGUUGGGACGAAGCUUCCUGGGUUAAUAGCCCUGUGGAGUGACGGUACCUUCAGAAGAAGCCCCGGCUAACUACGUGCCAGCAGCCGCGGUAAUACGUAGGGGGCAAGCGUUGUCCGGAAUCAUUGGGCGUAAAGCGCGUGUAGGCGGCCCGGAAAGUCUGGUGUGAAAACUUAGGGCUCAACCCUAAGCCUGCACUGGAUACUAUCGGGCUUGAAUCCGGAAGAGGAGAGUGGAAUUCCUGGUGUAGCGGUGGAAUGCGCAGAUAUCAGGAGGAACACCAAUGGCGAAGGCAGCUCUCUGGUACGUGAUUGACGCUGAGACGCGAAAGCGUGGGGAGCGAACAGGAUUAGAUACCCCAGUAGUCC